GAGAUUCCCCCAGUAGCGGCGAGCGAACGGGGAGGAGCCCAGAGCCUGAAUCAGCAUGUGUGUUAGUGGAAGCGUCUGGAAAGGCGCGCGAUACAGGGUGACAGCCCCGUACACAAAAGCGCAUGUGCUGUGAGCUCGAUGAGUAGGGCGGGACACGUGGUAUCCUGUCUGAAUAUGGGGGGACCAUCCUCCAAGGCUAAAUACUCCUGACUGACCGAUAGUGAACCAGUACCGUGAGGGAAAGGCGAAAAGAACCCCGGCGAGGGGAGUGAAAAAGAACCUGAAACCGUGUACGUACAAGCAGUGGGAGCACAGGUUUACCUGUGUGACUGCGUACCUUUUGUAUAAUGGGUCAGCGACUUAUAUUCUGUAGCAAGGUUAACCGUAUAGGGGAGCCGCAGGGAAACCGAGUCUUAACCGGGCGUUAAGUUGCAGGGUAUAGACCCGAAACCCGGUGAUCUAGCCAUGGGCAGGUUGAAGGUUGGGUAACACUAACUGGAGGACCGAACCGACUAAUGUUGAAAAAUUAGCGGAUGACCUGUGGCUGGGGGUGAAAGGCCAAUCAAACCGGGAGAUAGCUGGUUCUCCCCGAAAGCUAUUUAGGUAGCGCCUCGUGAAUUCAUCUCCGGGGGUAGAGCACUGUUUCGGCUAGGGGGCCAUCCCGGCUUACCAACCCGAUGCAAACUGCGAAUACCGGAGAAUGUUAUCACGGGAGACACACGGCGGGUGCUAACGUCCGUCGUGAAGAGGGAAACAACCCAGACCGCCAGCUAAGGUCCCAAAGUCAUGGUUAAGUGGGAAACGAUGUGGGAAGGCCCAGACAGCCAGGAUGUUGGCUUAGAAGCAGCCAUCAUUUAAAGAAAGCGUAAUAGCUCACUGGUCGAGUCGGCCUGCGCGGAAGAUGUAACGGGGCUAAACCAUGCACCGAAGCUGCGGCAGCGAACGUAUCACUUAAAGCGAUUCAGCGGGUUACGAUUGACGGAGCGAAGCGACGUCAAAGCGUAUACAAAGUCGAGUCGGUUUAAGGAUACGUUCGUUGGGUAGGGGAGCGUUCUGUAAGCCUGUGAAGGUGGCCUGUGAGGGUUGCUGGAGGUAUCAGAAGUGCGAAUGCUGACAUAAGUAACGAUAAAGCGGGUGAAAAGCCCGCUCGCCGGAAGACCAA
RNAcentral lists this ribosomal RNA (1162 nucleotides) under Salmonella enterica subsp. enterica serovar Derby. RNAcentral's name for it is "partial 23S ribosomal RNA". It matches the Rfam family "Bacterial large subunit ribosomal RNA", at positions 231 to 1348 of the family's 2925-position model. Lineage: Bacteria; Pseudomonadati; Pseudomonadota; Gammaproteobacteria; Enterobacterales; Enterobacteriaceae. The record is from RNAcentral.